RNAcentral lists this ribosomal RNA (697 nucleotides) under uncultured fungus. Its description in RNAcentral is "eukaryotic LSU rRNA". It matches the Rfam family "Eukaryotic large subunit ribosomal RNA", at positions 1 to 667 of the family's 3401-position model. Lineage: Eukaryota; Fungi. The record is from RNAcentral.
UUGACCUCAAAUCAGGUAGGACUACCCGCUGAACUUAAGCAUAUCAAUAAGCGGAGGAAAAGAAACUAACAAGGAUUCCCCUAGUAACUGCGAGUGAAGCGGGAAGAGCUCAAAUUUAAAAUCUGGUGGUCCUCGCGGCCGUCCGAGUUGUAAUCUGGAGAAGCGUUUUCCGCGUCGGACCGUGUACAAGUCUUCUGGAAUGGAGCGUCGUAGAGGGUGAGAAUCCCGUCUCUGACACGGACCGCCGAUGCUUUUGUGAUACGCUCUCGAAGAGUCGAGUUGUUUGGGAAUGCAGCUCAAAACGGGUGGUAAAUUCCAUCUAAAGCUAAAUAUUGGCGAGAGACCGAUAGCGAACAAGUACCGUGAGGGAAAGAUGAAAAGCACUUUGGAAAGAGAGUUAAACAGUACGUGAAAUUGUUGAAAGGGAAACGUUUGAAGUCAGUCGCGUCGGUCGAGACUCAACCUUGCUCUUCUGCUCGGUGCACUUCUCGGCCGACGGGUCAGCAUCAAUUUUGACCGUCGGAUAAAGGCCGAGGGAAUGUGGCAUCUUUCGGGAUGUGUUAUAGCCUUCGGUUCGCAUACGGCGAUCGGGAUUGAGGAACUCAGCGCGCCUUCAUUGGUCGGGGCUUCGGCUCACGUUAACGCGUUUAGGAUGCUGGCAUAAUGGCUUUAAGCGACCCGUCUUGAAACACGGACC